GACGAACGCUGGCGGCGGGUCUAACACAUGCAAGUCGAGAGGACGAACCGAGUGCUUGCACUCGGGGAAACCGGCGAACGGGUGAGUAACACGUGAGGAACCUGCCCUGUACACCGGGAUAACCGCGGGAAACCGUGGCUAAUACCGGAUGCUCCACUGAGAUCGCAUGAUCAUGGUGGGAAAGCUCAGGCGGUACAGGAGGGCCUCGCGGCGUAUCAGCUAGUUGGUGGGGUAAUGGCCCACCAAGGCUACGACGCGUAGCUGGAGUGAGAGCUCGAACAGCCACACUGGGACUGAGACACGGCCCAGACUCCUACGGGAGGCAGCAGUGGAGAAUCUUGCGCAAUGGGCGAAAGCCUGACGCAGCCACGCCGCGUGCGGGAAGAAGGCCUUCGGGUCGUAAACCGCUUUCAGGAGGGAAGAAGCGAAAGUGACGGUACCUCCAGAAGAAGGUCCGGCUAACUACGUGCCAGCAGCCGCGGUAAUACGUAGGGACCGAGCGUUGUCCGGAUUUAUUGGGCGUAAAGCGCAUGUAGGCGGCCUAGUAAGU
RNAcentral lists this ribosomal RNA (550 nucleotides) under uncultured Actinomycetes bacterium. RNAcentral describes it as "bacterial SSU rRNA". It matches the Rfam family "Bacterial small subunit ribosomal RNA", at positions 28 to 588 of the family's 1533-position model. Lineage: Bacteria; Bacillati; Actinomycetota; Actinomycetes. The record is from RNAcentral.